AAACAUGUGCUAACACCACGAAUAAAGGCAACUCACGUUGCUUUUGAUUGCAUGAAGAAUUAUUUAGAUGCAAUUUAUGAUGUUACGGUGGUUUAUGAAGGGAAGGACGAUGGAGGGCAGCGAAGAGAGUCACCGACCAUGACGGGAUGCUUAUAGAAUUUUAUGAGUCACCAGAUCCAGAAAGAAGAAAAAGAUUUCCUGGGAAAAGUGUGAAUUCCAAAUUAAGUAUCAAGAAGACUUUACCAUCAAUGUUGAUCUUAAGUGGUUUGACUGCAGGCAUGCUUAUGACCGAUGCUGGAAGGAAGCUGUAUGUGAACACAUGGAUAUAUGGAACCCUACUUGGCUGCCUGUGGGUUACUAUUAAAGCAUAAACAAGUAGCUGUCUCCAGACAGUGGGAUGUGCUACAUUGUCUAUUUUUGGCGGCUGCAUAUGACAUCAAAUUGUUUCCUGAAUUUAAUAAGGAGUGUAAAUAAAGCCUUGUUGAUUG
RNAcentral lists this small RNA (488 nucleotides) under Pongo abelii (Sumatran orangutan). RNAcentral's name for it is "processed transcript". The record is from RNAcentral. Lineage: Eukaryota; Metazoa; Chordata; Mammalia; Primates; Hominidae.